GUUGAGUUUUCUAGCUUCAUGCAUUGCUCUUAAUAAUACAUAUUGCUAUGAGGUAUAACAUUUGGUUCAGGGCCGUUUUUAAGUUCCAGUCGGCAAGUCUGUAUCCAGGGCCGUAGUUAGCAUGUAUAGUUGGGGGGAUGUAGGCCAAAAAUUUGCGAAUGACGAAAAUAAUUUCCGAAUAUAUCAUUGCAUACUAAGCCACGAAGGUGUUUGCUAUUCUAAAAAUGAAGACGCAAUUUACAAACAAAAAAUGGUAGGGAGCUUUUGUUUAUUGGGGGCAGAAAACGAGGGCCGAGGAGAUUUUUUAAUUUCGAGUCUCUGAAAUGCCAUUUCCUGGACUUUGGGGGAAGUUUUGACAGAAUGCUGAUGGUCAG
Molecule: non-coding RNA, 374 nt
Organism: Paramuricea clavata
Lineage: Eukaryota; Metazoa; Cnidaria; Anthozoa; Malacalcyonacea; Plexauridae
Source: the annotation of a GenBank genome assembly